RNAcentral lists this long non-coding RNA (768 nucleotides) under Brachypodium distachyon (stiff brome). Its description in RNAcentral is "long non-coding RNA (BDIS_LNC004485)". Lineage: Eukaryota; Viridiplantae; Streptophyta; Magnoliopsida; Poales; Poaceae. The record is from RNAcentral.
GGCACGUACCCCAGCGCGCUCCGGCGUUCGCGCGGCGCACGAUCGUCGGCCGAGCCUUCGGCGAGGCGGUGGGGGCAGGGAUUGCCGGGCGGAGAAGGGUGAGGAAGCGGAACAUCCUCCGGCGAUGCGCUUCCGCGCGGCGCGUGGUCGUCGUCCGACAUUGGAAGCCGAAGCCGACGCUCCUUAGGGAUUUGGAGGUUACGGAGUACUAGGGCAGGACGGCGAGGUUUAGGGGAGAACUGGAGAAGCGAUGGGAACAGGCAAGACAAAGAGAAAUGGAGGGAGGGAAGGGGGCUGGCCGGCUGGCAAGAGGACGCCGGUGGUGGGCCUGUUGUGAUAAAGCCCAGAAUGAAGAUAUAUGGACAUACACGAGGCCCUUUUAUGAGAAAGCCCAGGAGCGAUACUACAGAGUACACACAAUGAUCGGGCUAAUUCUAAAAAAAAAAAAAAACAACACACACACACAAUGAUCGGGCUAUCUUGCCAAGUGUUUUUAUUCUUUUCAAACUUGCUAUCCUCUCCUAUCCAAAUUAAUUAUCAUAAUUUUAGUCAGAUUUGGUCUAGAUACAUAGGCAUGUAGACGCGUUCCGAUGUGUUGGUUUGCUCAUUUUGAAAAAAAAGUUGCGAGAAUUAAUUUUGGUUCGGAGGAAUAUUAUUCUUUUAGCUUUAAAAAAUUUAGAUGCCUUUUCCUUGUUACCACUCAGGUAACAAGUUUUGCCAAAAUACGACCACAAUUGGGUUCUAGCAGGGCAAAAUACAACUACCGGC